This 2307-nucleotide long non-coding RNA is filed under the name Gallus gallus (chicken). RNAcentral describes it as "lncRNA (ENSGALG00010011310.1)". Lineage: Eukaryota; Metazoa; Chordata; Aves; Galliformes; Phasianidae. The record is from RNAcentral.
AUCUCUAUCUGGAGGUCAUCCCUCUUGGAACACUUCAGUGAGCCCAGGACACAGGUUUUUAUGACCAGGCUGUCCUGUUUUGGCUGAAGGUGUUGAAGAGGAUAAAGGAACAAGCUGCUAAGACUUGACAAACCACUCAGAAAUGAAAUAAUCUUAGCCUGACUUCAGAAGGGAAGCUGUGGGAUCCUGCAGUAAUUUGUCUGUGGAUGGAAAAGAACCCACUAGAACUGGCAAAAAAAAAAAACUGAGCUCCACUGAUAGGGCUGCACUGACUAGUCUGAGUCUUAACAUAUCUGAUCGCCAAGUGAGUUAACUCAGCGUUUCAUAUGGUCAGUUUGCAGAAAGAAACACUACAACGCUGUUGUACUGUGGCCACGCUCAAGUCUUUACCACUGGCAUUUCCAAUCUGAGCUCUCAUCCCCAGUAAAUACUGACAGAGCACUCAGUGAUUUUUUUUUUUUCCUUCACACCUUAAAACUCCCAGCAUUUUCUAUGUGUUCUUGAGGAAGCCCACAGCAACCUCUUGCCCAUUUUGCUCUUGUGUGAUGGUUAGAUUGAGAUGUAAAUGCUUUGUGAGCGUUUUCUAAAAGAAUUUGAUUCAGGCAGAUAUCCCCUCUUGAUUAUACAAUUCCAACAUAUUCACAACAUAUUUGCUGUAAGAGAAUGAAAUAAAUUUGUAGCACCAUCUCAUAAAUAUAUCUUCAGAUCCUGUUAGCUUUCAUCAUGUUUUGACCAGCUACCUGCAUUUCUGAUUUCUGUUCAUUUCUUAAUGUCAAGCAAGAAGUGGCUAUGGGCAGAGAUUUCAAAUAUUGCUACAAAAAGGUUUCCUUUCAAUAUCAUUCUGCAAUUCUUAUCCCAUCUCGGAUGCACAUUCUGCAACCCCUCCUCUAUGGAAGAUCUAAAUUUUUCUCUUCUGCUUUUUCUCACCUAAGCAGUUCCAAGCCUGGAUUCUUAUCUUGCCCUGGAGCUCUCCUGUAAUUUCCCAUACAGUUCCAACCAUAAAUCUUUCAAUUCAGCAGAGAUCAGCAAUGCUGCUGCAGUCAGCAUGCAUAUUUCUUUCUUUUCUUCUGCCUUGGGCUCCUCCUCCUUCCAGCACUGUACUUCUGCACCCUUUUCUGUCUGCUGUGCAGGCUUCACCCUGGAAGUUAUUUAACUCAUCAGACCAGGUCGCAGGCUGCAGUUUAGUUCACAUUUCCAUAGAUUCACAUACUCAAGUUCCUCCUUUCUUGUUCAAUGUGGUUUUUCUUGUUUGUUUGUUUUGUUUUUUCGCAGUUUUAGAGGAAGAGGGAAAGGGUCCCCACACAGUGUCAUUGUAAAUGAUUGUUCUUAAUCCAAUCUUUUGCACUUAGAACCCAUGAACUCAUUAUUUCAUUCUGCUUCAAUAACGUUUAUCCAUCAGUGGCUUUUUCCCCAAGUAAAAUAGUAAAAAAUCCUUUGAAACCCUUUCAUUUUAUUUCAGAUUCUGUGAACAGUAUCUACUGUAAAUAGCAUCCUGUUCUUUUAUUGAUACGUACUUCUAAGAAGAGGUUUCUGUACAAGGGUUGAAAACAAAACCAGCACAAAAUCUAAGCUACGCUUCCAACUGACAUUUUUGGUUCAUGUCCUUAUUCCAUUAGCCAUGUUUUUUGCAAUCAAAUCGGCAGUUUUUAUAAAAAUCUGUUUUAAUUGCCCAUUCCUGUCUCCUAAAACAGCAUUUCGAUAUGGUGGGGGGGGAGGAGAAGAUUGAUCGUGUUUUGUUCUAUAGCAUCACUUAAAAAGAUUUGCAAUGAAGCAAGAGUUAAAGGGGAAUUUAGGUUUAGCUUGGAAAAAAACAGAAACUGGUGGGUAUAAGUGUGUGUGGUCAGAUACAACAGCUGACAUGAGGUCAGUCCCUCUCCGGAAUCAAACUUCUCCUCAGAAGUGUGUCUUAUGCUUAUAUGUCUUGAGCAACCAGUCUCCUCCCUUCCUAUAGAAGAGGAGAAAUCUUGUAAGAAAUAAUGCCAAAUUCAACCUACCUGUACUGAAGUGCAGUGAGAUUGUCAAGUUCUCCUUAACACACACACACGCAGCACUAAGGGCAUGUGCUGUCAUACAUAAAAGUCAAGGUCUGCAGUUGUUAUAUUUUAGCUAAUGGAACUAAAUGUGUAUUUAGUAAAAAUGUAUUACUUAAAAAGAUGUUGCAUUUUUGUAGCAGUUGUGGGUUAACUCUUGGCUUCCUAAUUUGAUUUCUGCUUAAAUGUUAGAUAAGCGCAUAAUUGCAUAAACUAUUUAACUGCUUGUUGCCCUCUCAUCUGCGUUCAGAUCUGAUUAAAAUGAUCUUUUCUGCCU